Molecule: non-coding RNA, 73 nt
Organism: Ameiurus melas (black bullhead)
Lineage: Eukaryota; Metazoa; Chordata; Actinopteri; Siluriformes; Ictaluridae
Source: the annotation of a GenBank genome assembly
GGCACAGUGGCUUAGUGGUUUGACUUUUGACUUGUACCUCCAGGGUUUGGGGGUUCGAUUCCCGCCUCUGCCC